Molecule: long non-coding RNA, 824 nt
Filed under: Nicotiana benthamiana
Lineage: Eukaryota; Viridiplantae; Streptophyta; Magnoliopsida; Solanales; Solanaceae
Description: long non-coding RNA (NBEN_LNC031937)
Source: RNAcentral
UGUAAAAGUUCUUUUACACUUUAAUGUAUUUAAACUCAAACAAUAUACAUAUUUUGUUAACUACUAGUAUUUGGUGCAUCUUUCACACAGGAGGCAGCCCAUGAGAAAAGCCAGAAGUAUAAAGAAGGGAAAUUUGUCCUUGAAAGGUUCAUUUCUCUCUUUAAAAAUUAUUAUGUUCUUUAACAUUAACAUUUGCACAUUAAAGUGGUAUUCACAUUUUAUGCUGUUGAUCCUGUUUGUGAACAGAGAAAAAUUAUUAUGUUCAUUGGCAUUAACAUUUGCACCUUAAAAAUGGUAUUCACACUUUCAAUGUUCCCUAUAUAACAUUUAUAUGCUGUUGAUAAUGUUUGGGAACAAAUUGAUGGAGUUGACUCUGAGUUCUAUAUUGAUACUCGUCCAAGCAUGAGUGAUGCUGAGGACGCAUAACCUUGGUUUUCCGUCGUACCUAAUACAAAAAUGAUAAUUCUAUGGUUGUAUCUUGUCGAAGAUCUCAGCAAGUUUGUGGAUAUAGAAAAGAAGUUGUUUCUUUUAUAUGUCUAUCUCUAAUGGUGUGAUUUGGGUUUGUGGCUGUCAAUUCUGAUGGCGUAAAAUCUUGGAGCUUUCUUGCAAAUAAAUGAGGUGUAGCUAUAUUUUCUGCCUUGAGGCGUGAAUUGGAACCUAAAAUUUGGAGUUACUGCUAAGUUCUUGAGAUGCAUUUAAUCUAUGGAUACGCUAGUCAAGUGGUCUCAAACUAGCCUUACUCAUAACGGAAUUAGCAAUAAUGUUUUUUUUUAUCGUUUUAGGUAUUGAUCGAUUAAAGAGUAAACGUGAAAAAAAUAAAGAAG